AAUGGAUUAAUUUCCUCCUUAGA
Molecule: transfer RNA, 23 nt
Filed under: Isabellaria leucoraphe
Lineage: Eukaryota; Metazoa; Mollusca; Gastropoda; Stylommatophora; Clausiliidae
Description: partial tRNA-Met
Source: RNAcentral